RNAcentral lists this ribosomal RNA (459 nucleotides) under uncultured bacterium. RNAcentral's name for it is "partial 16S ribosomal RNA". It matches the Rfam family "Bacterial small subunit ribosomal RNA", at positions 338 to 795 of the family's 1533-position model. The record is from RNAcentral.
CCUACGGGAGGCAGCAGUGAGGAAUAUUGGUCAAUGGGCGCGAGCCUGAACCAGCCAAGUAGCGUGAAGGAUGACUGCCCUACGGGUUGUAAACUUCUUUUAUAAAGGAAUAAAGUGAGGCACGUGUGCCUUUUUGUAUGUACUUUAUGAAUAAGGAUCGGCUAACUCCGUGCCAGCAGCCGCGGUAAUACGGAGGAUGCGAGCGUUAUCCGGAUUUAUUGGGUUUAAAGGGUGCGUAGGCGGAUCGUUAAGUCAGUGGUAAAAUUGAGGGGCUCAACCCCUUCCCGCCAUUGAAACUGGCGUUCUGGAGUGGAAGAGAAGUAUGCGGAAUGCGUGGUGUAGCGGUGAAAUGCAUAGAUAUCACGCAGAACCCCGAUUGCGAAGGCAGCAUGCCGGCUUCCGACUGACGCUGAAGCACGAAAGCGUGGGGAUCGAACAGGAUUAGAUACCCUUGUAGUC